CCCUUAGAUGUCCUGGGCCGCACGCGCGCUACACUGAGUGUCUGAGAUACGAGUCUGCCUAGCCGGCGAGGUCUAGGUAAUCACUGAAAGACACAUCAUGCUUGGGAUAGAUUAUUGCAGAUAUUAAUCUUGAACGAGGAAUUCCUAGUAAGCGCAAGUCAACAGCUUGCGUUGAUUACGUCCCUGCCCUUUGUACACACCGCCCGUCGCUACUACUGAUUGGAUGUUAAAGCGAGGUUCUCGAACUGCUAGCGACUUAGCUUCGGUGAGGUCGCCGUGUGGGAAGUGAACCUAGCUUUGGUGUCUAGAGGAAGUAAAAGUCGUAUCA
RNAcentral lists this ribosomal RNA (328 nucleotides) under uncultured eukaryote. RNAcentral's name for it is "partial 18S ribosomal RNA". It matches the Rfam family "Eukaryotic small subunit ribosomal RNA", at positions 1470 to 1796 of the family's 1831-position model. The record is from RNAcentral.